Molecule: transfer RNA, 57 nt
Filed under: Geobacteraceae bacterium GWC2_55_20
Lineage: Bacteria; Pseudomonadati; Thermodesulfobacteriota; Desulfuromonadia; Geobacterales; Geobacteraceae
Description: tRNA-Phe
Rfam family: tRNA
About the family: Transfer RNA (tRNA) molecules are approximately 80 nucleotides in length.
Source: RNAcentral
GCCCAGGUAGCUCAGUCGGUAGAGCAGAGGAUUGAAAAUCCUCGUGUCGGCGGUUCG